ACGGGAGGCAGCAGUGGGGAAUAUUGCACAAUGGGGGAAACCCUGAUGCAGCAACGCCGCGUGAAGGAAGAAGGCCUUUGGGUCGUAAACUUCUGUUCUAAGGGAAGAUAGUGACGGUACCUUAGGAGAAAGUUCCGGCUAACUACGUGCCAGCAGCCGCGGUAAUACGUAGGGGGCAAGCGUUAUCCGGAAUUAUUGGGCGUAAAGGGUACGUAGGUGGUUUCUUAAGCGCAGGGUAUAAGGCAAUGGCUUAACCAUUGUUCGCCUUGCGAACUGGGGGACUUGAGUGCAGGAGAGGAAAGCGGAAUUCCUAGUGUAGCGGUGAAAUGCGUAGAUAUUAGGAGGAACACCAGUGGCGAAGGCGGCUUUCUGGACUGUAACUGACACUGAGGUACGAAAGCGUGGGGAGCAAACAGGAUUAGAUACCCUGGUA
Molecule: ribosomal RNA, 433 nt
Filed under: uncultured bacterium
Lineage: Bacteria
Description: bacterial SSU rRNA
Rfam family: Bacterial small subunit ribosomal RNA
Source: RNAcentral